AAUCACUUUUGUUGGUCUUUUGUUUGAUGUAGGGAGGUGGAAUGCGCCAAAAGGAAGAAAUUGGCCUGUUGGUUUCAGCUUUUUCAACUUCAUCCUCAGAUAUGCUUCCCAAUGAACUUGAACCGGGAUUCAGAAAGUGAUGUAUAAUGAAAGAUGUCACAAGCAAUGUCAAGUUAAAGUUGGCGUAAAUUUGAGGCCAGGGACAGAAUACUCAGGCUUUUCUCACACAUGAGGAUCAUAACUGAUGCAAAAACUCAAAAGCGUGCAAGCUUUUUUGCAUGAUCUGAGGGUACGUUGUUCUGAGGUUCUGUUGCGGUAAACAUGCUAAAUGAUGGCUUUAAUUGUGUGUCACAUGAAUGAGUAUAUGCUUUUAAUAUCUAGA
Long non-coding RNA from Vigna angularis (adzuki bean), 382 nucleotides. RefSeq lists it as uncharacterized. Lineage: Eukaryota; Viridiplantae; Streptophyta; Magnoliopsida; Fabales; Fabaceae. The record is from RefSeq and is a predicted model, not a curated record. The transcript has 3 exons.